Molecule: ribosomal RNA, 454 nt
Filed under: Rhodotorula mucilaginosa
Lineage: Eukaryota; Fungi; Basidiomycota; Microbotryomycetes; Sporidiobolales; Sporidiobolaceae
Description: eukaryotic LSU rRNA
Rfam family: Eukaryotic large subunit ribosomal RNA
Source: RNAcentral
GUCUGUUGGAAUACAGCGGCAUAGUGGUGAGACCCCCGUAUAUGGUGCGGACGCCCAGCGCUUUGUGAUACAUUUUCGAAGAGUCGAGUUGUUUGGGAAUGCAGCUCAAAUUGGGUGGUAAAUUCCAUCUAAAGCUAAAUAUUGGCGAGAGACCGAUAGCGAACAAGUACCGUGAGGGAAAGAUGAAAAGCACUUUGGAAAGAGAGUUAACAGUACGUGAAAUUGUUGGAAGGGAAACGCUUGAAGUCAGACUUGCUUGCCGAGCAAUCGGUUUGCAGGCCAGCAUCAGUUUUCCGGGAUGGAUAAUGGUAGAGAGAAGGUAGCAGUUUCGGCUGUGUUAUAGCUCUCUGCUGGAUACAUCUUGGGGGACUGAGGAACGCAGUGUGCCUUUGGCGGGGGUUUCGACCUCUUCACACUUAGGAUGCUGGUGGAAUGGCUUUAAACGACCCGUCUU